Gossypium raimondii (Peruvian cotton) is the source of this 610-nucleotide RNA transcript. RefSeq lists it as uncharacterized. The record is from RefSeq and is a predicted model, not a curated record. NCBI's taxonomy places the organism in Eukaryota, Viridiplantae, Streptophyta, Magnoliopsida, Malvales, Malvaceae. The transcript is spliced from 3 exons.
UCACAUUGCAUCAAUUAAUCUCUCUUCUUAUUGCUAUUUUUUAUUCCUCGGAUUAUGACCCCCUCUCUCACAAGCAUGCUGGCUGGGAAAUAUGUUCCAGUAGAUGUUGUUGCACUGCUAAACUCAACACUCCAGAUGGGGGUUGGAGAAUACGAUCAAAGGGAAAACAUCAGAUAUGGUGAUUCCCAACCAAGCAGUGGCUUCUUAGACACCCAACAUUUUGCACAACCAAACAUGACCAGAACUUCUAAACCUAUAUGUUGAGGAUUCACACUCAAGGAGCAAGAAACAUCUCAGCAACUCAUUGGGAUCGAGCAGUCAAAAUUCAGAAUCAAGUGACACACAAGAGCUAGAUUUGGAGCUUAGACUUACACUAUAAUCAGUAAUUUUUUUUGCUACUUUAAAUGCAUGCUCCUGGAACUACAUUUUAUGCUUUCCUAGAAUUGUAAGUUCAAAUAAGGUGUUGAUCUGCAAUUUAUACAUACAACUUGAGCAAGUUGAUAUGAACUAGUUUCAAUUUUUUUAAAAAAAAAUUCAAAGGAAUGUUAUGUAAUCAAAGGCAAUUUGACUUGCUGCAUGAGAUAUAGUGAAAAACAUUUAUCUUCUUGUU